This 253-nucleotide ribosomal RNA is filed under the name uncultured bacterium. RNAcentral's name for it is "partial 16S ribosomal RNA". It matches the Rfam family "Bacterial small subunit ribosomal RNA", at positions 524 to 776 of the family's 1533-position model. The record is from RNAcentral.
UACGGGGGGGGCAAGCGUUGUUCGGAAUUACUGGGCGUAAAGGGCUCGUAGGCGGCCAACUAAGUCAGACGUGAAAUCCCUAGGCUUAACCGGGGAACUGCGUCUGAUACUGGAUGGCUUGAGUUCGGGAGAGGGAUGCGGAAUUCCAGGUGUAGCGGUGAAAUGCGUAGAUAUCAGGAGGAACACCAAUAGCGAAGGCAGCUCGCUGGGACGUUACUGACACUGAGGCGCGAAAGCGUGGGGAGCGAACAGG